UAUCAGUUUGUUGGUGAGGUAAUGGCCCACCAAGACUAUUACAGGUACGGGCUCUGAGAGGAGUAGCCCGGAGAUGGGUACUGAGACACGGACCCAGGCCCUAUGGGGCGCAGCAGGCGAGAAAACUUUGCAAUGUGCGAAAGCACGACAAGGUUAAUCCGAGUGGUUUCUGCUAAAGGAACCUUUUGUCAGUCCUAGAAACACUGAUGAAUAAGGGGUGGGCAAGUUCUGGUGUCAGCCGCCGCGGUAAAACCAGCACCUCAAGUGGUCAGGAUGAUUAUUGGGCCUAAAGCAUCCGUAGCCUGCUUUGUUAGUUUUCGGUUAAAUCUGUACGCUCAACGUACAGGCUGCCGGGAAUACUGCAAAGCUAGGGAGUGGGAGAGGUAGACGGUACUCGGUAGGAAGGGGUAAAAUCCUUUGAUCUAUUGAUGACCACCUGUGGCGAAGGCGGUCUACCAGAACACGUCCGACGGUGAGGGAUGAAAGCUGGGGGAGCAAACCGGAUUAGAUACCCGGGUAGUCCCAGCCGUAAACCAUGCAAACUCAGUGAU
RNAcentral lists this ribosomal RNA (551 nucleotides) under uncultured archaeon. RNAcentral's name for it is "bacterial SSU rRNA". It matches the Rfam family "Archaeal small subunit ribosomal RNA", at positions 223 to 775 of the family's 1478-position model. The record is from RNAcentral.